Alosa alosa (allis shad) is the source of this 1131-nucleotide long non-coding RNA. RefSeq lists it as uncharacterized. The record is from RefSeq and is a predicted model, not a curated record. NCBI's taxonomy places the organism in Eukaryota, Metazoa, Chordata, Actinopteri, Clupeiformes, Clupeidae. The transcript has 5 exons.
CCUUGGUGUUGUGGUAUUUUACAGGUGUUUCCAUCUCUUCCUGUAUGUUGUCCUAUUAACAAAGAGGAGAGAUACUGCAAGUUAACAUCUUGGAAAGCAAACAAGGUAUUUGCAGUAAGAUGUGCCUUCCUUUUUGGAGUAUGUUUAUGUUGAUGCUCUGCGCAAAAACCUUGGAGGUAGUGAUAGAAGAUCAAGCACGUCAUUCUCGGUGGCAGACAUUAAAAGUGGAAGACGGACAUACCACCUACCACUAUCUGAAGAGACACUCGGACGGAACUUUUACUAAUGACCUGACUAACCAACUAGAUUUGCUAAAGGCUAAAGACUUCGUUGCUUGGCUGGCUAGCACCAAACGUGAGAGUCAACAGAAGCGAGGUCUUCAGGAAGACAGGAUGAAGACUGGGGAACUGGUCACUCUGCUCAAUCAAGCAUGGGAAUGGAGCUAACCACACUCAAAAAACACCAAAAAAGCACCAAAACGUACGUCUGGCCCUUGCUCCAGUCCCAGGCCACCACCAGACCCACCAAACCAGCAGUGCCACAAUGAUCUUGCCAGGAGGAAACACGGACAACGGAGCCGGCGGGUGUAGUUCGGAUUUUCACACAUUGUUGGAUCUGCCAGCAGUUUCUGGUGGGCGGGGCUUGCCCAUCAUUUGCCUUAGGAGUGAAUGAUUGAUCUGUUAAUAGUUGCUAGAACGGUUACCACACCGCCAAAAUAAACAAAUCCAAUCUAUGUGUCCCUACUCUUAAAACUGCAGGACCCGGAAACCGGACAAAACCACACCCUCUGUAUCCUUCAACACUGUGCACACACCUGUUGUACCUCUGGCUGCGCUCCAACAAAGAGAAUGAUAAACAAAUGCAUAUGGUCUCCACAGCACUGCCAAAGCAAAACAUGCAAGGCAGCCUAAGAUUUAUACACAGUACUGCACAUGUUUAAAUAUGAUUAACUCAAUCAAUUUAGAGCUGUUUAUUUAUUCAUUCAUUUAUUAUUUAUUUUUAUUAUUGUUAUCCUGUGGCACAGCCCAAAUGCAAAAUAACAAUUAGCGAUUCUUUGUUGUUACUUGAAGUACUGUGAUCAACAAUUUCAUUGGUUAAAAUGUCAAUAAAGGAAAAUGGCUUUAAAAUGCA